CAAUAGCGUAUAUUAAAGUUGUUGCAGUUAAAAAGCUCGUAGUUGGAUUUCUGGUCUGAUGCCCUGGCCCGCCUCAAUUUCGAGGUGAGUGCCGGCUGUGCGUCUACCAUCCUUCUAGAAAACGUUCCUACCCUUCACUGGGCCGGGUUUGCGAUCUAGAUCUUUUACUUUGAAAAAUUAGAGUGUUUAAAGCAGGCUUUUGCUAUGAAUACAUUAGCAUGGAAUAAUAAUCUAGGACUUCGGUUCUAUUUUGUUGGUUUCUAGUACUGAAGUAAUGAUUGAUAGGGAUCGUUGGGGGUGGCUAGUAUUGAGCGGCCAGAGGUGAAAUUCUUGGAUUCGCUCAAGACUAACUUAUGCGAAAGCAUUCACCAAGGAGGUCUUCUUUAAUCAAGAACGAAAGUUGGGGGAUCGAAGACGAUUAGAUACCGU
RNAcentral lists this ribosomal RNA (429 nucleotides) under uncultured eukaryote. RNAcentral's name for it is "SSU rRNA". It matches the Rfam family "Eukaryotic small subunit ribosomal RNA", at positions 592 to 1018 of the family's 1831-position model. The record is from RNAcentral.